This is a long non-coding RNA of Bradysia coprophila, 520 nucleotides long. RefSeq lists it as uncharacterized. Lineage: Eukaryota; Metazoa; Arthropoda; Insecta; Diptera; Sciaridae. The record is from RefSeq and is a predicted model, not a curated record.
GCAAUAUUUAAUUAUUUGAUAAGAAUCAAUUGAAUGGCUGCAUUCGACAUUGCCGUCGAUUGCUGUAUAAAAGCACAAUGUUUCGGUUUAAUCGGUAUCAGUUCACUCUUAUUGUUCUUUCAUAUUCGAUCCUUGAGACCGGAUUUCUUCGAAAAUGAAAGUCGCUGCUGUUAUUUUAUUGGCCUUCGUCAGUUGCAUCUCUGCACAAUUAUGGCGUGGAGAAGAUUUCUCUCACACUGAUGGUCGCCCAGGAUGCCAACUCCCCAUCGAAAGCCAACAGAAGUGGCGAAACAACUUUGACAAUGUGAGAUAUUGGGUGUGCACAAAUGGCCAGGCCGUUUCAUACAUUUGCCCCACUGAAUACUUGUUCGACUUCGACCGACAAUGCUGCAUUCGUUGGAAUUUCUGGGUAUGGACACCACCUUUCGAUCCACCAACUCUUGGUUAAAUUUCGUAAUUAUAAUAUUUUGGAUUGGUGAUGCUCAUAGAGUUUGAAUAAAAAAAUAUUGUCGUGCAAUAA